GACGAACGCUGGCGGCGUGCCUAAUACAUGCAAGUAGAACGCUGAAGGAGGAGCUUGCUUCUCUGGAUGAGUUGCGAACGGGUGAGUAACGCGUAGGUAACCUGCCUGGUAGCGGGGGAUAACUAUUGGAAACGAUAGCUAAUACCGCAUAAUAGUAGAUGUUGCAUGACAUUUGCUUAAAAGGUGCAAUUGCAUCACUACCAGAUGGACCUGCGUUGUAUUAGCUAGUUGGUGAGGUAACGGCUCACCAAGGCAACGAUACAUAGCCGACCUGAGAGGGUGAUCGGCCACACUGGGACUGAGACACGGCCCAGACUCCUACGGGAGGCAGCAGUAGGGAAUCUUCGGCAAUGGGGGGAACCCUGACCGAGCAACGCCGCGUGAGUGAAGAAGGUUUUCGGAUCGUAAAGCUCUGUUGUAAGAGAAGAACGAGUGUGAGAGU
RNAcentral lists this ribosomal RNA (442 nucleotides) under Streptococcus sp. oral taxon A95. Its description in RNAcentral is "bacterial SSU rRNA". It matches the Rfam family "Bacterial small subunit ribosomal RNA", at positions 28 to 462 of the family's 1533-position model. Lineage: Bacteria; Bacillati; Bacillota; Bacilli; Lactobacillales; Streptococcaceae. The record is from RNAcentral.